Molecule: ribosomal RNA, 26 nt
Filed under: Allium vineale
Lineage: Eukaryota; Viridiplantae; Streptophyta; Magnoliopsida; Asparagales; Amaryllidaceae
Description: partial large subunit ribosomal RNA
Source: RNAcentral
CAUGACCUCAGAUCAGAGCGAGCGAU